Molecule: ribosomal RNA, 157 nt
Filed under: Mactra antiquata
Lineage: Eukaryota; Metazoa; Mollusca; Bivalvia; Venerida; Mactridae
Description: 5.8S ribosomal RNA
Rfam family: 5.8S ribosomal RNA
About the family: 5.8S ribosomal RNA (5.8S rRNA) is a component of the large subunit of the eukaryotic ribosome. It is transcribed by RNA polymerase I as part of the 45S precursor that also contains 18S and 28S rRNA.
Source: RNAcentral
CAGCUCUAUGCGGUGGAUCACUCGGCUCGUGCGUCGAUGAAGAGCGCAGCUAGCUGCGAUAAUUAAUGUGAAUUGCAGGACACACUGAACAUCGACAUCUUGAACGCAUAUUGCGGCCUCGGCUCAAUGCCGAAGCCCCGCCUGUCCGAGGGUAGGC